ACGUAGGACACAAGCGUUAUCCGGAAUUACUGGGCGUAAAGCGCCUGCAGGCGGUUGAAUAAGUCAUGCGUGAAAGCGCCCGGCUAAACUGGGCGAGGACGGAUGAUACUGUUUGACUAGAGGGUGAUAGAGGCGAGUGGAAUUCCGCGUGUAGUGGUGAAAUGCGUAGAGAUGCGGAGGAACACCAGUGGCGAAGGCGGCUCGCUGGGUCACACCUGACGCUGAGAGGCGAAAGCAUGGGGAGCGAACGGGAUUAGAAACCCCGGUAGUCCAUGCCGUAAACGAUGUGUGCUAGAUGUGGGGAUAUCGAAAGAUGUCUCUGUGUCGAAGCUAACGCGAUAAGCACACCGCCUGGGGAGUACGGUCGCAAGGCUA
Molecule: ribosomal RNA, 375 nt
Filed under: uncultured bacterium
Lineage: Bacteria
Description: bacterial SSU rRNA
Rfam family: Bacterial small subunit ribosomal RNA
Source: RNAcentral